RNAcentral lists this ribosomal RNA (434 nucleotides) under uncultured bacterium. RNAcentral describes it as "partial 16S ribosomal RNA". It matches the Rfam family "Bacterial small subunit ribosomal RNA", at positions 29 to 507 of the family's 1533-position model. The record is from RNAcentral.
AGCGAACGCUGGCGGCAGGCCUAACACAUGCAAGUCGAACGAACCUUUCGGGGUUAGUGGCGGACGGGGGAGUAACACGUGGGAACGUGCCUUUAGGUUCGGAAUAAUUCAGGGAAACUUGUGCUAAUACCGAAUGUGCCCUUCGGGGGAAAGAUUUAUCGCCUUUAGAGCGGCCCGCGUCUGAUUAGCUAGUUGGUUGAGGUAAUGGCUCACCAAGGCGACGAUCAGUAGCUGGUCUGAGGGGAUGAUCAGCCACAUUGGGAAUGAGACACGGACCAAACUCCUACGGGAGGCAGCAGUGGGGAAUCUUGCGCAAUGGGCGAAAGCCUGACGCAGCCAUGCCGCGUGAAUGAUGAAGGUCUUAGGAUUGUAAAAUUCUUUCACCGGGGACGAUAAUGACGGUACCCGGAGAAGAAGCCCCGGCUAACUUCGUG